This 253-nucleotide ribosomal RNA is filed under the name uncultured bacterium. RNAcentral's name for it is "partial 16S ribosomal RNA". It matches the Rfam family "Bacterial small subunit ribosomal RNA", at positions 524 to 776 of the family's 1533-position model. The record is from RNAcentral.
GACGAACCGUGCGAACGUUAUUCGGAAUCACUGGGCUUAAAGGGCGCGUAGGCGGGCGGUCAAGUCAGAGGUGAAAUCCCACGGCUCAACCGUGGAAGUGCCCCUGAUACUGGCCGUCUCGAGGGAGGUAGGGGCGUGCGGAACUUCCGGUGGAGCGGUGAAAUGCGUAGAUAUCGGAAGGAACACCGGUGGCGAAAGCGGCGCGCUGGAUCUCUACUGACGCUGAGGCGCGAAAGCCAGGGGAGCAAACGGG